CAGCCGCCGCGGUAAUACGUAGGGUGCAAGCGUUAAUCGGAAUUACUGGGCGUAAAGCGUGCGCAGGCGGUUAUUCAAGACAGAUGUGAAAUCCCCGGGCUCAACCUGGGAACUGCAUUUGUGACUGGAUGACUAGAGUACGGCAGAGGGGGAUGGAAUUCCGCGUGUAGCAGUGAAAUGCGUAGAUAUGCGGAGGAACACCGAUGGCGAAGGCAAUCCCCUGGGCCUGUACUGACGCUCAUGCACGAAAGCGUGGGGAGCAAACAGGAUUAGAUACCCCCGUAGUCCCUGUCUCUUAUAC
RNAcentral lists this ribosomal RNA (301 nucleotides) under uncultured bacterium. RNAcentral describes it as "partial 16S ribosomal RNA". It matches the Rfam family "Bacterial small subunit ribosomal RNA", at positions 509 to 807 of the family's 1533-position model. The record is from RNAcentral.